RNAcentral lists this ribosomal RNA (301 nucleotides) under uncultured bacterium. RNAcentral's name for it is "partial 16S ribosomal RNA". It matches the Rfam family "Bacterial small subunit ribosomal RNA", at positions 509 to 809 of the family's 1533-position model. The record is from RNAcentral.
CAGUAGCCGCGGUAAUACGUAGGUGGCGGGCGUUGUCCGGAAUUAUUGGGCGUAAAGGGAGCGCAGGCGGACAUAUAAGUCCAUCUUAAAAGUGCGGGGCUCAACCCCGUGAGGGGAUGGAAACUGUAUGCCUUGAGUGCAGGAGAGGAAAGCGGAAUUCCCAGUGUAGCGGUGAAAUGCGUAGAUAUUGGGAGGAACACCAGUGGCGAAGGCGGCUUUCUGGACUGCAACUGACGCUGAGGCUCGAAAGCCAGGGGAGCGAACGGGAUUAGAUACCCGCGUAGUCCCUGUCUCUUAUACA